GUUCAGCACUCAAUGAUGACUUUUCUUCUUAGGGAAAAAUUGCGGGAAGAAAAACGGAUUAGUAUAAGAAAUAAAGAAUCUGUUGUUGACAUUGUUAGCAGAUGUAUCAUUGUAACAGUAUCCAAUGCUGUGAUGAUGAUGAUACCUUGUAUUAUUUGAAACUCAUAUAAUAUCCACGGAAGACUCAUGUAGCAUUUUUACCUUGGCCAAGUGGUGCUAAGUGGCCCCUGGUUAUAGGAGAGCAAAGCCCCACCAGGCAAAGAAGGGAAACACAAAUGGCUAGAGAUUUUGUUUCCAACUGAUUGUGAAUUUGGUGUUGAUUUCAGCAAUUUACAUGAUGUAAUCAGAUUGACAAUUUGGCAAUGCAUUGUUAGAAAUCAUUGAACAAGUUCGUAUUCCCAUAUGUUUGGUUUAAAUUCAAAGUUGAUGUUAACCAAUUUCUAUUUGAUUAUUUUAUGUUUUUUCUCCUAUGAGAGUGUGAACAACAAAAAAACCUAGGACUAGCAAUUAAUUCAUGAAAUGUAAAAAUUGAAUCAAACAACUGAAAUGAAAUCAAUUGCAACCCUUAAUAAUGAGAAAAAAUAAGUGAAAAUGGAUAGAAAAAGCGAAUCAAUUGCAAACCCAAAUUGUCGAUGAACCCUUGCUCCACCACUACCAUGGUCGACGAAAUGAUGCAACACCGGCGCGAAGCCUUCUGAACUUACAGAUCUAGAAUCUACGGUGUUGGUACUUCUGCGGGUGAAGGUCUCAGGGUUUGAUAUUCUGGACAUGGUGAUCUGUAACCUGGGUUUGGGUGUGACCUCAGAAACCCGUAUGUUGAUAAAGAACAUAAAUUAUUUGAUGUGUUGAAGUUUUUACUUUGAAGGGGUGACCACCGCACCGGAACCCUGCGGUAGAAGAUGAUUGAUGAUUAUUAUAUAAGAAACUUUUAUUUGAACUUUCAUGCUUUUAGACAGUUUGGUUUAAGCCCUAGAGGCUUAAACUUAUUGGUUACCUUGACUUUUCUUGGUAUUUACUUGAUGUUUUGUUUAAUAGACCUAUGGCUUUUUAUUGUUAAUUAUGAGUGUUAUGAAUUUUGAGUUGUUUUAAAUAAUUUUUUUAGCAUUUGUAUAUGCAUUUAUUAUAAAUCAUAACUGAAUUAAAAUUGAAGUAUAGAACCGCUAUAGCAUUUUUGGGUCAGCGACACUAUGUUCCACUAUUCAUGAUUGACAACUAAUUGUAAGAUUUUUCAUUGUACUUGAAAGACACUUGCAGCAACCAACAUGAAAGAUGAAGACCUCACUGAAAGCAUGCAAAAGCUACUUAUUGUUAUGCAAAGACUGGAUGAGAAAAUUGCUCCAAUGCUGGAGGAAGAUGGGGAGCUCUUCAAUUCAAGGUAAGCUCAGAGAAUAGAACUCUCGAUUUUUUUUUGUCUGCCCACAUGGCUAUUUCAAUAACUGAGUUGCCAUGGGAAAGAGUUAUUGGUGAUCUUGUUCUGUCAAUAUGCUCCAGGACGAACAAAGCUUAGACACAGUUCUAUACAUUGUAUUUUUAUUGUUGUCCAAUUACAACAUGACACUUGUGUUGGAAAAUGAGAAGUUGAUAGAAGUUAUAACAUUAUUAAAAAUAUUUAAAAAGUGGGUACCCGAUUUUGUCAUUGCUGCUGGUCUUGCUUUUUGGUCAUUUUACCGCAUGCAUUUGUUAUUCACUUGGAUUAUUUGUCUGCAUUAGGUGGGGCUAUCUAUCUCGUGCUGGACUGUGGGAUAAAAGUCACUUGAUGAGACAAAUUGAAAAGUAAGUGCUUUCUUUUUUAUGCCACUGAUCUCUAUUUUAGCGUGAUUACUCUCUGAAUUCUGAAUUAAUUGAGUUUAAAUUUAUUAUGGCAGAUAUGCUGAUAUUUAUACAUCUAGAGUGUCAAACUUUUUAUAUUACACCCCCUUCAUGUAUUUCCGCUCUCAGGAACAGGUAUCCAGAUAACCUUCUCUUUACCUUGUCAUUUAUAGCCAUGAACGAUUAAGUUAUUAUUGUGUUGUUUGAAUUGACUUUGAUUUGUUUCUGUAGAAUCUUGCGCAUGACUCAUACUCACACUACUGUUCAGCACUCAAUGAUGACUUUUCUUCUUAGGGAAAAAUUGCGGGAAGAAAAACGGAUUAGUAUAAGAAAUAAAGAAUCUGUUGUUGACAUUGUUAGCAGAUGUAUCAUUGUAACAGUAUCCAAUGCUGUGAUGAUGAUGAUACCUUGUAUUAUUUGAAACUCAUAUAAUAUCCACGGAAGACUCAUGUAGCAUUUUUACCUUGGCCAAGUGGUGCUAAGUGGCCCCUGGUUAUAGGAGAGCAAAGCCCCACCAGGCAAAGAAGGGAAACACAAAUGGCUAGAGAUUUUGUUUCCAACUGAUUGUGAAUUUGGUGUUGAUUUCAGCAAUUUACAUGAUGUAAUCAGAUUGACAAUUUGGCAAUGCAUUGUUAGAAAUCAUUGAACAAGUUCGUAUUCCCAUAUGUUUGGUUUAAAUUCAAAGUUGAUGUUAACCAA
Molecule: long non-coding RNA, 2508 nt
Filed under: Lotus japonicus
Lineage: Eukaryota; Viridiplantae; Streptophyta; Magnoliopsida; Fabales; Fabaceae
Description: long non-coding RNA (LJAP_LNC001884)
Source: RNAcentral